AUUGAACGCUGGCGGAAUGCUUUACACAUGCAAGUCGAACGGCAGCACGGGGGCAACCCUGGUGGCGAGUGGCGAACGGGUGAGUAAUACAUCGGAACGUGCCCAGUCGUGGGGGAUAACGUAGCGAAAGUUACGCUAAUACCGCAUACGAUCUACGGAUGAAAGCGGGGGACCGUAAGGCCUCGAGGGAUUGGAGGGGCCGAUGUCAGAUUAGGUAGUUGGUGAGGUAAAGGCCCACCAAGCCGACGAUCUGUAGCUGGUCUGAGAGGACGACCAGCCUCACUGGGACUGAGACACGGCCCAGACUCCUACGGGAGGCAGCAGUGGGGAAUUUUGGACAAUGGGCGCAAGCCUGAUCCAGCCAUUCCGCGUGCAGGACGAAGGCCUUCGGGUUGUAAACCGCUUUUGUACGGAACGAAAAGGUCUCUCUUAAUACGGGGGGCUCAUGACGGUACCGUAAGAAUAAGCACCGGCUAACUACGUGCCAGCCGCCGCGGUAA
RNAcentral lists this ribosomal RNA (500 nucleotides) under uncultured bacterium. Its description in RNAcentral is "partial 16S ribosomal RNA". It matches the Rfam family "Bacterial small subunit ribosomal RNA", at positions 29 to 523 of the family's 1533-position model. The record is from RNAcentral.